This 68-nucleotide transfer RNA is filed under the name Marmota marmota marmota (Alpine marmot). It matches the Rfam family "tRNA". From Rfam's summary of the family: Transfer RNA (tRNA) molecules are approximately 80 nucleotides in length. Their secondary structure includes four short double-helical elements and three loops (D, anti-codon, and T loops). Further hydrogen bonds mediate the characteristic L-shaped molecular structure. tRNAs have two regions of fundamental functional importance: the anti-codon, which is responsible for specific mRNA codon recognition, and the 3' end, to which the tRNAs corresponding amino acid is attached (by aminoacyl-tRNA synthetases). tRNAs cope with the degeneracy of the genetic code in two manners: having more than one tRNA (with a specific anti-codon) for a particular amino acid; and 'wobble' base-pairing, i.e. permitting non-standard base-pairing at the 3rd anti-codon position. The record is from Rfam by way of RNAcentral. Lineage: Eukaryota; Metazoa; Chordata; Mammalia; Rodentia; Sciuridae. RNAcentral also lists the same sequence under 1 other name.
GUGGUGGCUCAGUGGUACAGUGCUUGCCUAGCAUGCAUGAGGCACUGGGUUCGAUCCUCGGCACCACA